GACGAACGCUGGCGGCAUGCCUAACACAUGCAAGUCGAACGGAACCUUCCGGUCUAUUUGCGCACGGGUGGUUAACGCGGGGUAACCUGCCCUUAGGUUCGGAAUACCUCCCCUAAAGGUGUGCUAAUACCGCAUAAGGUCUUCGGACCAACGAUUUAUCGCCUUUGGGUGGGCCCGCGUUAGAUUAGCUGGUUGGUAGGGUAAAAGCCUACCAUGGCGACGUUGCAUAGCUGGUAGGGGAGGAUGAUAAGCCACAAUGGACAUUCGACACGGACCCGCACGGUACGGGACGGAGCAGUGGAGAAUAUUGGACACUGGGCGAAAGCGCGACAAAGCCACGUGGGGUGAGACAUGAAGGCCUUAGGGUUGUACAGCCCCUUUAGACGGGACGAGAAUGACAGUAACGGGAGAAUAAGCUCCGGCUAACUACGUG
Molecule: ribosomal RNA, 433 nt
Filed under: uncultured bacterium
Lineage: Bacteria
Description: partial 16S ribosomal RNA
Rfam family: Bacterial small subunit ribosomal RNA
Source: RNAcentral